RNAcentral lists this ribosomal RNA (468 nucleotides) under uncultured bacterium. Its description in RNAcentral is "partial 16S ribosomal RNA". It matches the Rfam family "Bacterial small subunit ribosomal RNA", at positions 28 to 507 of the family's 1533-position model. The record is from RNAcentral.
GACGAACGCUGGCGGCGUGCUUAACACAUGCAAGUCGAACGGAAAGGCCCUGCUUUUGUGGGGUGCUCGAGUGGCGAACGGGUGAGUAACACGUGAGUAACCUGCCCUUGACUUUGGGAUAACUUCAGGAAACUGGGGCUAAUACCGGAUAGGAGCUCCUGCUGCAUGGUGGGGGUUGGAAAGUUUCGGCGGUUGGGGAUGGACUCGCGGCUUAUCAGCUUGUUGGUGGGGUAGUGGCUUACCAAGGCUUUGACGGGUAGCCGGCCUGAGAGGGUGACCGGGCACAUUGGGCCUGAGAUACGGACCAGACUCGUACGGGAGGCAGCAGUGGGGAAUAUUGCACAAUGGGCGGGAGCCUGAUGCAGCAACGCCGCGUGCGGGAUGACGGCCUUCGGGUUGUAAACCGCUUUCGCCUGUGACGAAGCGUGAGUGACGGUAAUGGGUAAAGAAGCACCGGCUAACUACGUG